GAAUCAGUUUUGGAGAUACAGGAAACUCAUACCAAGAACAUACACCUUUCAAUCUGAUGCAGUCAAAGUAAGUGCUCACUUGUUGAAUCUUCAUUUGCAGAUGUGCUAUUUUUACCUGAAUCCUAUGACAUUGUACUGAUUUUUCAUAUGGCAACUUGGCUAUCAGCCCAACUUAUAACAUCAGCAUCACUAAAGUAAAUGUGGGUAGGUAUGAUUCUGAUCUUGAAUUCACUGCAAUUUUCGAAUCUGGUGCCUCAUUUACAUACCUAAAUGAACCAGCGUAUUCCUUUAUAUCUGAGAGUGUGAGUAUCUUAAACAAUUUGACUUGACAUUUACCAAAGUUUAAUGCUCUAUCAUUUUGGCACUUAACCCUUUUAUGGUAAUUUUUGCAGUUCAAUAACCAGACAAAAGACAAGCCCUAUUCAUUUGGUUAUGGUUUACCCUUUAAAUAUUGUUAUGAGAUAAGGUAUUGCCCUUCUUGUUUUGUAUGUGUGCAAUCCCUUAAGCAUAAGCACUGACUUUCAUUGUAAAUUCAGCUCAUAUCAAGACGAUCUGGAGGUUCCAAUUCUAAAUCUAGUUAUGGAAGGUGGAAGCCAAUUUAAUGUCA
RNAcentral lists this unclassified non-coding RNA (607 nucleotides) under Hevea brasiliensis (rubber tree). Lineage: Eukaryota; Viridiplantae; Streptophyta; Magnoliopsida; Malpighiales; Euphorbiaceae. The record is from RNAcentral.